RNAcentral lists this long non-coding RNA (228 nucleotides) under Elaeis guineensis (African oil palm). RNAcentral describes it as "long non-coding RNA (EGUI_LNC078038)". Lineage: Eukaryota; Viridiplantae; Streptophyta; Magnoliopsida; Arecales; Arecaceae. The record is from RNAcentral.
GCUAAGUCAAAGAUAUUUAAUUUUUAAAUUUAUGAUAGAUUUAUAUUCUAUUUAUUAAUACAUGAUUAGUUCUACUUGUAGGAGUACUAUCGAUUCGACACUCCUCAGAAUGAAGAGGCUGGCCGUCGGACCUUCGAGAAGGUGGCCAUGCGGAGGUUUUGCGAUAGACUACAUAGCCUUUGACAGUCUGUCAUAGAGCACUUUAGUUUUGAGUCACUAUCAGACUAG